This 71-nucleotide transfer RNA is filed under the name Ictidomys tridecemlineatus (thirteen-lined ground squirrel). RNAcentral's name for it is "Spermophilus tridecemlineatus (thirteen-lined ground squirrel) tRNA". It matches the Rfam family "tRNA". Rfam says of the family: Transfer RNA (tRNA) molecules are approximately 80 nucleotides in length. Their secondary structure includes four short double-helical elements and three loops (D, anti-codon, and T loops). Lineage: Eukaryota; Metazoa; Chordata; Mammalia; Rodentia; Sciuridae. The record is from Rfam by way of RNAcentral.
GUAGUUGUAGCUCAGUGGUAGAGCACUUGCUUAGCAUGUGUGAGGCACUGGGUUCGAUCCUCAGCACCACA